UAAUAAGCGGAGGAAAAGAAACUAACAAGGAUUCCCCCAGUAACGGCGAGUGAAGCGGGAAUAGCUCAAAUUUGAAAUCUCCGACGCUUGCGUCGGCGAAUUGUAGUUGCGAGAAGCACUUUCUCGGCGGAUCGGGCGUGCCUAAGUUGCUUGGAACAGUACGUCGCAGAGGGUGACAACCCCGUUUGUGGCACGGCCGACCGCUCACGAUGUGCUUUCGAAGAGUCGGGUUGUUCGGGAAUGCAGCCCAAAACGGGUGGUAAACUCCAUCUAAAGCUAAAUAUUGACGUGAGACCGAUAGCGA
Molecule: ribosomal RNA, 304 nt
Filed under: Leptopsammia pruvoti
Lineage: Eukaryota; Metazoa; Cnidaria; Anthozoa; Scleractinia; Dendrophylliidae
Description: eukaryotic LSU rRNA
Rfam family: Eukaryotic large subunit ribosomal RNA
Source: RNAcentral